UGUAAGUCCCUCUGAAACAUAAUAAUAAUCAUAUUCACAAUCAACCUCAUUCCUAAUCUGAUAUAUGAGCAUGACAAGGAUUUCUACAAUUUUCAUUUAAUGUACAGAGAACACGUUUUCAUCACAGAACAUGGCUCAAAUAAGAAUUCUAAAAAAUAUAUAAUUGUGAUAACUGAUGGACGUAUAUUUAUGGACAAUAUGACACUGACAGAGGUUUUGCAAAACCCCAAAAUAGAAAAUAUCACCCGCUUUGCUAUUGGGGUAGGGCCAGAGGUGUUGAACCAUACCAUAGCACUUAAAGAGAUGAGGGAGAUCGCCUCAGACCCAGAUGAGGAGCACUUUUUUAAGGCUGAUGAUUAUAAAGCAUUACCAGCCAUUUUGCAUUCAUUACAGGUGGCCGUUACUUGGACAGAUGAGAACAAUGGCCAUCAACAUUUUUCCAACAAAUCAGCACCGGUCCAAUCCCUCCCACCUCAAAGACACCAAUAAGGAUAGAUGGUAAAUCUUGCAUGUUUUGAAAAACUAAAAUGUAAACCCCUAAAACAAUCCUUUCAUAAAAAUGAAACCUCUUGCAACAUCAUGAUGAAGACAAAGAUAAGAAAAAACUUUGACUCCAGAGCCUUUGCCAACCUGGCCACAGCUUACCAGAUCUUACAAUGUAUUUCACAGCAUAUUGUUUGGAUUGGUGCCAAUAUGAUGAAUCAUUGCAUAAUCUUAGAGCUUUACUUUCAUUUAAUUAAAUACAUCUAAAUUGUUUUAAAGAGAUUUUAUAUCAUAGUGUACACUUCAACUUCUUUUGCAUAUUACCACAUCUGUUUAAAGUACCAGUGGCAGUACUAUACCAGCUUUAAGCCUUUUUUGAGAGAAUUGAGACUCAUUGACACGC
This is a long non-coding RNA of Sardina pilchardus (European sardine), 886 nucleotides long. RefSeq lists it as uncharacterized. NCBI's taxonomy places the organism in Eukaryota, Metazoa, Chordata, Actinopteri, Clupeiformes, Clupeidae. The transcript has 3 exons. The record is from RefSeq and is a predicted model, not a curated record.